AUGCUGCCCAAGUUCCACCCCAACAAGAUCAAAGUCGUGUACUUGAGGUGCAUUAGAGGAUAGGUCAGUGCCACAAUCACCUUGGCCCCAAGAUUGGUCCUCUGGGUCUGCCUCCAAAAACAGUUGGUGAUGAUGUUGCCAUGGUUACUGGUGAUUGGAAAAGUCUCAGGAUUGCUGUGAAACUGAUCAUCCAGAACAGGCAGGCCCAGACUGAGGUGGCACCCUCUGCCUCUACCCUGAUCAUCAAAGCCGUCAAGGAAGAGCAAGAGACAGGAAGAAGCAGAAGAACACUAACACAGUGGGAAUGUCACCUUUAGUGAGACUGUCAAUGUUGCCCACCAGAAGUGAUGCCCAUGUUUGGGCAGAGAACUUUCAGGAACUAUCAAGGAGACCCUAGGUACUGCACAGUCUGUAGGCUGCAAUGUGGAUGGCUGCCACCCUCAUGACAUCGUAGAUGAUGUCAACAGUAGUGCCAUGGCAUGCUCAGCUAGU
Molecule: long non-coding RNA, 492 nt
Filed under: Mus musculus (house mouse)
Lineage: Eukaryota; Metazoa; Chordata; Mammalia; Rodentia; Muridae
Description: long non-coding RNA chr1:75568082-75568574
Source: RNAcentral